Molecule: long non-coding RNA, 1940 nt
Organism: Symphalangus syndactylus (siamang)
Lineage: Eukaryota; Metazoa; Chordata; Mammalia; Primates; Hylobatidae
Source: RefSeq, a predicted model, not a curated record
GGUGGCUCACACCUGUAAUCCCAGCACUUUGGGAAGCCAAGGCAGGUGGAUGGCCUGAGGUCGGGAGUUCGAGACCAGCCUGGCCAGCAUGGUGAAACCCCAUCUCAACUAAAAAUACAAAAAUUAGCUGGGCAUGGUGGUGGGCACCUGUAAUCCCAACUACUUGGGAAGCUGAGGCAGGAGAAUCACUUGAACCCAGGAGGCGGAGGUUGCAGUGAGGCAAGAUUGCACCAUUGCACUCCAGCCUGGGCCACAGAGCAAGACUCCGUGUCCCAUCCCCCCACCAAAAAAACACACAUACACACACCAUGUCUGCCACUUCUGUGACAGUCCUCGAACCAAAAAAAAAAAAAAGAAGUCUAACUUCCUGCUUUGAAAAUGGGACAGCCCUAAGUGACUUGUUUCCAACAAAUAGAAAUACUUUGUGAUUUCUGAGGCUAGGUCAUAAAAGUAGACAGCUUGUGCCUGGCAUAUGCUCAUAUGCCCGCCCUCCCUUCCUGCAUUUCCUCAUAUGCUUUUGGAGUCUGGAGUUGUCAGUCACUCUGCCCUCAACAGGACUCCUCUGGGAAUGCAGAUGGAACCGGAAUGGUAGACAAAACUGGGGAAAGACAAUCACCUCUCCUUCUGUGACAAGAAUGUAAGACCAAAGAAGACUCAAAGGGCUUGAGGAACGAACCAUCUUCAGAAAACAAGAACCCUGUUCCUUGACUCUGUCACCUCUCUACACCACCUAUUAUUAUGAUGGGAAGACAGAGCCAAAACUGAGGCAGCAGUUUAGGAGAGGUUUGAGUCACUGGAAAGUAAAAAAUAAUCCUGAGUACUGUUCACUGAUACAGCCACCAUUUUGCCCUUAUAAUCUGUAAUCUUCACAACACCUCUGUUCCAAUUAAGAGUUUUUCAACAUGAGUGGUAGAAAAUCUGACCCAACUGGCUAAACCCCAAAAUUGGCAUGUUAGCUGAUACAGUAAAUAAGAUGAGACAAAUUGGCUUUGGGCAUGGCCUGAUCCAGAGCUCACAGGCCCUGAAAGCAGCCUGGUUUCUCUCUGUUUCUCAGCUCUGCUUGCUCAGUGUUAACUCUUCUCCAACAAGCUCUCCCGUCAUGGUUACAAGAGAGCUGCCAGCAACAAGUCCUGGGCUUUUUCCUUCCAGGUUAAAUUCUGUUGCAUAUUCAUUUAUGGAGUUAAUCACAUAAGCUAUGUGUAACCCAAUUUUCCCCAAACCUUAGCAACUUAGGACCAAAUCCAGUAGAAACAAGUGAGUCUGCUUCCCUGAGAGUUCAAAACAAGAGCCUAGGAAUUGAGUUUCUUUUCCUGUGGCUCAUCCAUGGGUCAGACACCAUGGUGAGGAGGAGGAAGAGUGCUGAGUGUCUGAGCUCAGGCCCUGUGCUCCCUCCAGGGCCAUCACUGUCACUGGAAGUACAUGGGCAGAGGUGGAGGAGGGCUGGCUCCCCAAGCAAAAUUAGGGCAGUGUUGCCAAAACAGUAAAUUCUAGGCAGCAAAGAUGGCAAUUGUCCACAACAAACCCUAUGAGACUGAAAUUAUUCUCGUUGUACAGAUGUGGAAAUUGAAGGUCUCAGAUGUUAAGUAACUUGCCCCAAAUCAUAUAGUGGCAUAGAUUGGAUUUUACCUCAUUAAUGUGUGCGAUGAGACUAAAAGGAUAGGUAGGUAUCUGCCAGGCAGACUGGAGCAAGGAGGGUGCUCAAAGCAAGGAUUUAUGAAUACACAGCAGUACGAGGGCAUUAGGGGAGUGGGGGGCCUUCAGGGAACUUGGAGUUAUGGGCAAAGUUAUAAGACAGUGUAGCAAAGGAAGAGCUCAGGCUCUGGUGUCAGAUGGAUCCAGACGUUAUUUACCAGCUAAAUAGGUUGCAGUGAGCUGAGAUUGCGCUACUGCACUCCAGCCUGGGCAAUACAGCAAGACGCUGUCUCAAAAACAAAAACAAA